Molecule: ribosomal RNA, 344 nt
Filed under: uncultured eukaryote
Lineage: Eukaryota
Description: SSU rRNA
Rfam family: Eukaryotic small subunit ribosomal RNA
Source: RNAcentral
AGCUCCAAUAGCGUAUAUUAAAGUUGUUGCGGUUAAAAAGCUCGUAGUUGGAUUUCUGUUGGGGACGACCGUUCCGCCCUCGGGUGGGUAUUUGGUUCGGCCUUGGCAUCUUUCUGGAGAACGUUUCUGCACUUCAUUGUGUGGUGCGGUAUCUAGGACUUUUACUUUGAGGAAAUUAGAGUGUUUCAAGCAGGCAUAAGCUUUGAAUACAUUAGCAUGGAAUAAUAAGAUAGGACCUCGGUUCUAUUUUGUUGGUUUCUAGAGCUGAGGUAAUGAUUAAUAGGGAUAGUUGGGGGCAUUCGUAUUUAACUGUCAGAGGUGAAAUUCUUGGAUUUGUUAAAGAC